UACAUAGUGAGUCAGAAGCUACCAUGGGUU
Molecule: non-coding RNA, 30 nt
Filed under: Rattus norvegicus (Norway rat)
Lineage: Eukaryota; Metazoa; Chordata; Mammalia; Rodentia; Muridae
Source: RNAcentral